AUACGGAAACUGCUCAGUAGAAGGUGAUAAGUACAUAACGGCACAGCUGUAGAUGUAGAAGUUGGGUGGUCAUGAAGGCGGUUACCAUGGAAACGGCAGAUGACAGCGGUUACAAGGCUUGUGAGGAUAUUGCCAAUGUGCGUGUUUUUGUGCCGGACCUACAGCUUGAGAAGUUUUUUCAGUUUCACCAAGAAGAGUUGGUGUGGGAUGUUAAACAACAAAUUCUAUCCUCUCUACCAAAAGAGCUAAACGAAAGUGUCAACUAUGGUCUGUUUACUACUCCGAAGAAUGGAAAAGCAGGCAAAUUCCUGGAUGAAGAAAGGCUUCUGAUCGACUAUCCGUUUAGUGAACCCGUGGGUUAUCUUGAACUGCGAUAUAAACGUCGUGUUUAUAAGAUGAUGAACACUGAUGAAAAGCAAGUUAAGCAACUACACACAAGAACAAAUCUUCGUAGAAUGGUUGACUAUGUCAAUAAUGGAAAUGUGGAUAAGAUAGUUAAACUGUGUGCAAAAGGAUUAGACCCCAAUUUUCACUGUCCUGAGAGUGGUGAAUCUCCUUUGAUGCUUGCAACGACUUUGCAUCAGCCUGCUGCUGUUCUGAUGGAACUUGUGAAUGGUGGUGCCCAUUUAGAUUACAGAAUGAAAGAUGGAAGGACUGCACUCCAUCGUGCUGUGGAGAAAAACAAUUUUGAAGCCUUAAAGAGUCUGCUUGAUUUGGGAGCAUCACCAAACUAUAAAGAUAACAGAGGUUUAACAGCACUGUACUACAGUGUCUCCUACGGCCGUGAUCCAAAACUAACAGAAUGUUUGUUACACGAUCAUGCCAUCUUUGGAGUGGCUGAUCAUCAAGGGUGGCAAGAAGUCCAUCAGGCUUGCAAACAUGGUUUAGUUCAGCAUCUAGAACAUCUUUUGUUUUAUGGAGCAGACAUAAACUCUCGCAAUGCUAGUGGUAACACCCCUCUUCAUGUGUGUGCAGUAAAUGACCAAGAAAGCUGUGCCAGGGUUUUACUUUUCCGAGGUGCCAAUAAGAAUGCACUAAACUAUGCUAACCAGAGUCCCUACCAGGUGGCAGUAAUAGCUGGAAACCAUCACAUGGCUGAAGUAAUACAAAAUCAUAGGGCUGAAGAUGUAGUUCCAUACCGAGAGGCUCCACAGUAUAAUCUUCGGAGGCGGGCCAGUGUUGCUAUGGUGACAGUUUUAAAUUGCACUGAUAGUGACCCACACUUUGAACUAGUCCUUGGUGGCAAACCACCCUCUCCUUGCCCCUCCUACCGCUCUUUGCCCCCUUUCUCGUCUGUUUCAACAAUUUCUGAGGCAUCAACUGGUUCUUCUUCCACCUGCACACAGCCAAGUGGCGAAGAUAGUGAAGAUACAACAUCAGCUAGUGUAAUAACAGAAAGAAGUAUCACUAGUGAUUCUUCAGGUGUUUGCACAAGUAACAGUGGAGCAAGUGAAUCAAUUACUGAACUCUUCCCUCCUGGCACUACCUGUGUGUGUAUGGAAGAUUAUUACCCUUGUAGUCCUACUCAUCUUCAGUUGACACGAGGAGAUAUUUUGGAUAUUGUUGGUGUCUCUGAUUGUGGACUUCUUGAAGGCAGGCUAAGAAAUGGAGUAGAAGGUUUAUUUCCAUCUUCAUGUGUUCAGGAAAUAAAGUUGAGAAAAAUUGAAGACCUGCCACCAAUUGGCCGACCUCGAGUUGAAGGCCGUAGAGAAUUGAAUACAAGAAAAACUAACACCAUUCCAAGAAAGUGGAAAGUGUAUGGAGAUGCACGAACUGUGAUCCUCCACAAAGGAAAGAAAGGUUUUGGUUUUGUUCUCAGAGGAGCUCAGUCUACAAGUCCACUGAUGGAAAGGCAAGUGACAGAUAACUGGCCAAGCUUGCAAUACCUUGAUGAUGUAGAUAGAGGUGGAAUUGCUGAUUUAGCUGGAUUAAAGAAAGGGGAUUUCCUAUUGGAGAUCAAUGGACAAGAUGUGUCUCAAGCUCCACAUGAAAGAGUUGUAGCAAUAAUUCGUCAGUCUGGAGAUUUAGUUGCCAUGACAGUAGUUUCAGUACAGACGCAGCUAACUAGAAAUGCCAGUGAUAAAUCAGAUACUGUGCAGCGACAGUGUGCCACCCUACCACGCAAACUUUCUCUUAAAAAAGCUCCACCACCACCCAGACGGGAUCCUCGAACUACUCUUUCUGUUGGUAGGGCACGAGCACGUUCCCUUGUGGCUGAACUAACAGACAUAGAGGCACUGGACAGAACAGUAAAUGAAUACGACUCUGAAGGAAGAUCAACCAAAAGUAGUUCCAUUGAAAGCAUUCCAAACAAGCCAGCAAAUUUUGUAGCAGAAAGUUCAAACAAGGUUGCUUCCAUUUAUCCUGCAUCAUGUGCGAGAGAUAUUCCCACAUCAGAAUUGGAGUGUAUUUUUUCUAACCAGAGAGAAAAGAAUCAUAUAGAGCAUUCUUUUACAGUUUCAAAAAACUUGUUUUCUUUGACUAAGAUGCCAAAGGUUUAUGCUAGCGUAGCAGCAAUGAAACGCUCAAAAGCUACACGUUCCAAGACGUAUGAUGUGGUGAAAGCACACAAAACAUUCCAUAGCACUCCAGAUCUAAGUGUUGAUGUGGAGAGGUAUAACAGCCUUAAUCAUUAUAAGAAUAAAUGUCUUAGUCAGGAAGACAUCCAUGUUUUGGAUGCCAAAAACUUUAGACAUUCAUGGGCUUGUCCUCCACACAACUACAAAAAGUAUUUUGGUUCUUCGGUCCGAGAACGUGUUACAUCUUCUUAUAAGUCUUGGAAGUCUAUUGAAGAUUUAUAUGACCAAGUUACUAGUGCAAAAAAAAUUGAUACUUUGACCAAAACUGAAGUUCCUUGUCAGAUUUAUGCAGAAACUCUGCCUCUUCACCAGAAUGAGAAAGUGCCAGUGCCACCAAGAACCAAGUGUCCUCCUCCGACAAACCGUCCACCUCCUCCUCCACAGGGACUAGUAGUGAAAGUUAAUGUUUCACGAUCAUUAGGAGAGUAUGCUAAUAUUACCACUGCAAGAAGACCCGAAUCUGCAAUUAUGUCGAGUUUUCGUCCUGGAGAUAAUGCCAAACUGCUUGUCCCUCCUGAGUCAAUGGUGCCUGUAGGUUACAAGACUACAACUGAGACUCUAAAGCUUGAGCAUUCUUCCUCAAGAGCAAGUGGAGGCUCCAGCUUCAGGUCUCAUUCCUUGCCUCCAAAGAUAUCAGGAUCAAAACUGUUAACUACAUCAAGUACUUUCUCUGAAACGGAAAAUAGUGGAGAAUCUGGGGAAAUUCAUUCCACUUUUAGAAUGUAUCACAAACAAAGAGAUUCGUUAUCCUCUGACAGUGGGUUGAUGUCUGAUAAUGGGACUCUGAAAACACAGAAGCAUCAGGUUGUCAGUGGAAGAAUUUGUCCUGCAGAAGUUCAUAAUAUUCAGAAAGCUGCAAAUUGCAAAACCUCUGAACCGUUUAUUCCAGAACCUGAUUAUGAAAGCAGUGAGGAAGAAGUUAGUUUUUCUUCCAAAGGCUUGAAAGAUCAGAAAACCUCUACUGGAGACAAAGUACAACCUACAGAUUGUUGUUCAAGAUAUUCUCACCUUCAAAAUACACAUAUGCAAGCGAUUCAAGCCAUGCAAGAAGCAAGAAUGAAACUCAGACUUGCUCAAAAUUAUCAGAGCAAAACAAGUAAUUAUGACCAUAAACCCAAUGUUAGUACUAAUGACACUAAGCAAGUGCCCAGAAGUUAUAAUGAAAGAAAUACAUAUGAUGGACAUAUAGGAACAGCACUGUUGAGAAGCAGGCAGAAUGAGUUUGAAGAAAAUUCAAAUUUAUUAGACAUCAAAACAGAAACCAAAACUGUUUCCCAAACUUGUUUGAUGUCUUUUGGGUCUGAUCACCAUGCAGAUUUAACAAAAAAUGACUAUAAAGAUUCUUGUAAAAUAGAAAGCAUACCAACAAGUCACAAAGAAGAAAUAACUGUAAAAUUUUCUCCAAGUCCAUUAAAUGAAAAGAUAUCUGUUUUUGAACAAAAAAAGAAUUCUAGUAAGUCUGCUACCUUACCUUCCAAGAAGAUUGAUGAUCUCCAUAUAGCAAUCAUAGGAGCUCAGAACAGAUCACAAACAAACCAACAGGAUGUAUCUUUGCCUUUUAGCACUUUAAUAAGAUCAUCCAAAUCAUUUCCUAAUAACUUUGAACAUGAAGAUCUUGAUAAAUAUGAGAACAGUUCUAGUGGUGUUUCAUCAGAUGUUGAAAUUCAGAAUGAGUCUACUGUGACUGGGAUCUCACCAGAAGAUGGCCAUAAAGUUAAAGGGCAAAAUAAAGAAAACUUUUCUGUCAAAAUGGAGAAGUUUGGUGAUAGUUUUACAGAAGUACUCCAAAAAGUGGAUUCUCAAAGUCUAAACAAGCAAAUUAAUACUGGCUAUGAUAGUUCUUCAUCAAUAGUUACGAGUAGAGUCAACCAUAACAAAAUUUUGGUUUCUAGCCAAAAAUCUGAAUCUUAUGUUGACAGAACUAAUCCUACUUUUGAACAAAAUCAAAAUUCUAGUUCAAAAGUUAAACUUAUCAAAACACUAGAAAAUGAAAAUAAAAGUUUUGAUGCUGGUGAGGUGGAAAGUAAUCACAAAAAGACUUUCUUAGAUAAUAAAGGUCAGUGGAGGAAAAUUGAAAAUGAAACUUCAAAGUUGAUUCAGAGUAGUGAUGAAAGCCUUCAGCUGAUCCGUCUUGAAGUAGAUUCCCUGGGUCUAGCAGCAGUGAAUGAGGUAGAUGUGCUCACUGAACUUGUUCCUCCUCCUCCAGAGUUUGCAGCAGGGCCUCCAUCAUCCAGUUCCUCUAGCAUUAGUUCUACUGACCACUAUCCACCAAUGAUAGCACCACCUCCUGAAUUUUACUAGUAAGGUUGUACCUACUCUCCAGAAAUUAUUAAUCGAUAGCAUUUCAUGGGUCAAAUGAGUUCUCUCAAUUAUCAGGUGACUAGUCAUCCCUGUCAGGACUGUUCACACAACAGUCUUAGUGAUACUAUGGUUUCCCAGUUUUCACAGUGUAUUGAAAAGACAUACAUGGAUAGUCCCAUAUGCAAACUAAAAAUUCUCAUUUAGUACAUCAAUAAGACGUCUUAUCCUGUAACAUCUUAUCAAGGUUGUUGACCCAGUCAGCAACCAUACAAAACAAGCACCUUCAGUGAUGAGGAUUUGAACUUGUGACCCUCAGAUUGUGAGUUGAGCAGCGUUACCACCAGGCCCAUGGAACCCACUAACCCCCUUAAUAACUAUAUGAAAAAAUUUUGACAGUUCAUGUUUGUUCUAACUUGAAAAUAUUUUCACAGGUUUUAUAGCCAUAAGUGAUUAGAUCAGUCUGCUGAUACCUUACAAUGUAGCUACUUAUACUAACAUAUUAAAUAUUAAGGAAUAGUGCAUUGUUUUAUAUAAUAAAAAGAUGGUAUUCAUUCUUUAUCUCUUUAAAACAUGAGCCAUAAUAUUUUUUUUCAUUGAUGUUGAAAUGUAAAAAUAAUUCAUUUUUCACAAAUAGAAAGUUUAAGUUUGUGCUUAUUCUACAUAAGACAGAAAGUUUACUUAAAAUGAAGUAGUUUUGCAAAACUUCCUAGACAAGUAGUUUUUUUUCAGGCAAGGGAAAUAGCACAUUUAUUAAUUAAUUUAUUAAUAAUGCUAUUAAAAUAAAUAUCACAUUUAUUUAUUAAGCAGAAAGAAAUUUUAUCAGUUAAUCUCUAUUACUGAAAACAUUAAUAUUUCUUUAAAUUUUGCACAUUCAUUUAAAGAAGAUUAGAAAAUGUACUGGAGUUGACCUGUUUGAUAUGCAAAUUAUUUGCAAAAUGGCUAAGUUACGCUUGUCUCUAUUUGUUGUUUGGAUAAAAUUUUCAAUACAACUGUAAUACAGGAUGAGAAAAAUUGUAUAUCAUUAGUUAAUUUUAGCACAAUACUAAUCUAUACCUCUUGGAUCUUAUCUACAGUAUUGUAAAUAAAUUAAUCUGAUAAUGUAACCUACAUGCACUAAUAGAAUUUGGCCUAAAAAUUACAUCACGUUUUUCAUCAUAGAACAUUUUUUUGGAAGUGUUCUCACAUAAUGUUCUGUAAUUAUUCAUUGCAUAUAUAAUUGUUAUAUUUGUAAAAUACCAGUUAUGUUAUAUAGACAGUUAUAGGCUUGUAGACCAUGUAUAUUACACAUUGCCUUUAUUAUUAAAGUAAGUUCCAGUCAAAUGUUGAGCUAAUGUUUGGUUACAUGUUUAUGAUGCUUUCAUGUAAUAGUAAAAUUAUAUAUCAUGUAAAAAGUAUAUUUCCUGUGGUUGAGCCCAUCAACUCAACCCAUCACUGAUCCUUAUCAAGAUAUACAGUAGAUCCAUUUGUAGUGGAUUUAUUGUGGCUUUACAGUGAAUGUUGUAUUACUUUUAGAUUGUAAAGAUGUUAAUAAAAGUGGAAGCUAUCACCCCAUACCUCUCCA
This 6441-nucleotide unclassified non-coding RNA is filed under the name Limulus polyphemus (Atlantic horseshoe crab). RNAcentral describes it as "uncharacterized LOC106471474, transcript variant X4". The record is from RNAcentral. Lineage: Eukaryota; Metazoa; Arthropoda; Merostomata; Xiphosura; Limulidae.